GACGAACGCUGGCGGCGUGCCUAAUACAUGCAAGUAGAACGCUGAAGGAGGAGCUUGCUUCUCUGGAUGAGUUGCGAACGGGUGAGUAACGCGUAGGUAACCUGCCUGGUAGCGGGGGAUAACUAUUGGAAACGAUAGCUAAUACCGCAUAAGAGUAGAUGUUGCAUGACAUUUACUUAAAAGGUGCAAUUGCAUCACUACCAGAUGGACCUGCGUUGUAUUAGCUAGUUGGUGGGGUAACGGCUCACCAAGGCGACGAUACAUAGCCGACCUGAGAGGGUGAUCGGCCACACUGGGACUGAGACACGGCCCAGACUCCUACGGGAGGCAGCAGUAGGGAAUCUUCGGCAAUGGACGGAAGUCUGACCGAGCAACGCCGCGUGAGUGAAGAAGGUUUUCGGAUCGUAAAGCUCUGUUAUAAGAGAAGAACGAGUGUGAGAGUGGAAAAGUUCACACUGUGACGGUUUUU
RNAcentral lists this ribosomal RNA (469 nucleotides) under Streptococcus mitis. RNAcentral describes it as "bacterial SSU rRNA". It matches the Rfam family "Bacterial small subunit ribosomal RNA", at positions 28 to 480 of the family's 1533-position model. Lineage: Bacteria; Bacillati; Bacillota; Bacilli; Lactobacillales; Streptococcaceae. The record is from RNAcentral.